This 932-nucleotide ribosomal RNA is filed under the name uncultured protist. RNAcentral describes it as "bacterial SSU rRNA". It matches the Rfam family "Bacterial small subunit ribosomal RNA", at positions 28 to 1001 of the family's 1533-position model. The record is from RNAcentral.
GAUGAACGCUGGCGGUAUGCUUUACACAUGCAAGUCGUACGAGAGUUUUUAACUCAAGUGGCGGACGGGUGAGUAACACGUAAGAAUUUACCUUUAGGAGGGGGAUAACAACUGGAAACGGUUGCUAAUACCCCAUAUGCUUUCGAGUGAAAUGGAUUUCCGCCUAAAGAGAAGCUUGCGGCUGAUUAGCUUGUUGGUGAGGUAAUAGCUCACCAAGGCGACGAUCAGUAUCUGGUUUGAGAGGACGAUCAGACACACUGGAACUGAGACACGGUCCAGACUCCUGCGGGAGGCAGCAGUGGGGAAUUUUCCGCAAUGGGCGAAAGCCUGACGGAGCAAUCUCGCGUGAGGGAUGACUGCCUAUGGGUUGUAAACCUCUUUUUUCAGGGAGGAAUAAAUGACGUGUACCUGAAGAAUAAGCAUCGGCUAACUCCGUGCCAGCAGCCGCGGUAAUACGGAGGAUGCAAGUGUUAUCCGGAAUCACUGGGCGUAAAGCGUCUGUAGGUUGUUUGAUAAGUCAACUGUUAAAUCUUGAAGCUCAACUUCAAAACCGCAGUCGAAACUAUCAGACUAGAGUAUAGUAGGGGUAAAGGGAAUUUCCAGUGGAGCGGUGAAAUGCGUAGAGAUUGGAAAGAACACCGAUGGCGAAGGCACUUUACUGGGCUAUUACUGACACUCAGAGACGAAAGCUAGGGUAGCAAAUGGGAUUAGAUACCCCAGUAGUCCUAGCUGUAAACAAUGGAUACUAGAUGUUGAACAGAUCGACCUGUGCAGUAUCAAAGCUAACGCGUUAAGUAUCCCGCCUGGGAAGUAUGCUCGCAAGAGUGAAACUCAAAGGAAUUGACGGGGGCCCGCACAAGCGGUGGAGCAUGUGGUUUAAUUCGAUGCAACGCGAAGAACCUUACCAGGGUUUGACAUGAUACGAAUUUCUU